UACAGAGGUCUCAAGCGUUGUCCGGAUUUACUGGGCGUAAAGAGCGCGCAGGCGGUCGUUCAAGUCGAGUGUGAAAGCCCCCGGCUCAACUGGGGAGGGUCAUUCGAUACUGAUCGACUUGAAGGCAGGAGAGGGAAGUGGAAUUCCCGGUGUAGUGGUGAAAUGCGUAGAUAUCGGGAGGAACACCAGUGGCGAAGGCGAAUCUCUGGACAGUUACUGACACUGAGGCACGAAGGCCAGGGGAGCAAACGGG
This 253-nucleotide ribosomal RNA is filed under the name uncultured bacterium. RNAcentral describes it as "partial 16S ribosomal RNA". It matches the Rfam family "Bacterial small subunit ribosomal RNA", at positions 524 to 776 of the family's 1533-position model. The record is from RNAcentral.